UACGGAGGGUGCAAGCGUUAUCCGGAUUCACUGGGUUUAAAGGGUGCGUAGGUGGGUUGGUAAGUCAGUGGUGAAAUCCCCGAGCUUAACUUGGGAACUGCCAUUGAUACUAUCAGUCUUGAAUAUUGUGGAGGUUAGCGGAAUAUGUCAUGUAGCGGUGAAAUGCUUAGAUAUGACAUAGAACACCCAUUGCGAAGGCAGCUAACUACGCGAAUAUUGACGCUGAGGCACGAAAGCGUGGGGAUCAAACAGG
This 253-nucleotide ribosomal RNA is filed under the name uncultured bacterium. RNAcentral's name for it is "partial 16S ribosomal RNA". It matches the Rfam family "Bacterial small subunit ribosomal RNA", at positions 524 to 776 of the family's 1533-position model. The record is from RNAcentral.